Molecule: long non-coding RNA, 522 nt
Organism: Pezoporus occidentalis (night parrot)
Lineage: Eukaryota; Metazoa; Chordata; Aves; Psittaciformes; Psittacidae
Exons: 4
Source: RefSeq, a predicted model, not a curated record
AGUAAAUAGCAGCAUUUCCAUUGCUGUUCAAGGUAAGGAGCAGCUGACACCGAGCUAAGCAUAUGGCUGAAAGCCAUGCACAGAGGAAACAAUCUGAGAAAAAGAAACACGAGCUUUGUUACCCAGAUUGGUUACAGAACCCUACAGCUCCUCAAGGAACAGUAUUCAUCACUACUGAUAGAGAUGGAUUAAUGUGGAUUCAUUAAGCUACAACCAACGCAGUGACUUGAAUGCAAUGGUUUUACAUAAUAUAUAGCCCUAAACAGCAUGACUGGUGUAUUUGAAGUGACCCAAGAGAUUCAGACAUUUUUGGUAUCAGCUUUUCAUGAGGGUGUGUUGCCCACUCCAGCAUGCCAGUGUAACUGGAGCUGCACUGUCAGCUGGUAACCCAGGUCCCUGAAAGGCCCUGCUCCACCCUCUCAGUGCAGAAACUGGCCUGGGACCAGCACGCUGUCUAGGAUGUUCAGUGCCUGUGACCCACUUAUUCCACAGAUCAAGAUAUGCCUUGUCUUUAAAGUAUUC